Molecule: ribosomal RNA, 958 nt
Filed under: Nematodirus spathiger
Lineage: Eukaryota; Metazoa; Nematoda; Chromadorea; Rhabditida; Molineidae
Description: large subunit ribosomal RNA
Source: RNAcentral
UAAUUUUUUUUGUUUAAAUUUAGGUAUUGCAUACCAUUAAUGGAGAAUUUUAUUUAUAUAAAAAAUAAAAAUAGAGUGUAGAAUUACAAUUGGUUUUAUUGUUACAUAAUAAAAAGAAUUGUAAAUUAGUGUUGAAAUGUCGUACUCUAUAAUAAUUGUUUAUUUUUUUUUAUUAGAAAAUUAUAAAUUUGUAUAAAGUUUUGCAAAUAAAUAAUUUAUAGUGUUUGUAUUACCAGUAUUAUUACUGGUUGUUUUUAUUGUUGUUAUAUUUUUUAUUUAUUUAAUAAGACUUUAUUAAAUGUUAAGUUAUUAAAUUAGUAAAUUUUUAAAUGUUAUUUUUUUUUUUAAUAUAAUAAAAGAACUAAAAAUUUAAUCAAAUGUUUUUUAAAGACUUAGACUUUAUUUUAAAGUUAGCUUCUGCCCGGUGAAAUUUUUAAAUGGCAGUCUUAGCGUGAGGACAUUAAGGUAGCAAAAUAAUUUGUGCUUUUAUUGGGUUCUAGUAUGAAUGAAGUUAUUGGUUAAUUGUUUUUUUAUUUUGUAAUGAAUUUUUUUAUGUAUAAAAAAUUAUGUUUAUACUUAUACAAAGAUAAGUCUUCGGAAAUUUUUUUAAUAUUAAUUAUUUUUAUAUAAUUAGUAUUGAGUUUUCUAGGGUAGAAUUAUGUGUAUAGUUGGUUACUAUUUAUAAUUUAAAAAAUUACUCCGGAGUUAACAGAAAAUCAUAUCUAAUCUAGUUCUUAUAGUAAGAUAAGUUUUACAUCGAUGUUGUAUUUGAAUUUAUUAAGAGUGGAGAAGGCUUAAUUAUUAAGACUGUUCUUCUUUUAUUUAAUUCAACGUGAUAUUAGUUUAAUUCAUCGUGAGAUAGAAUUGUUUAUCUUGUUAAGUAUUUAUUUUUAUUAAUAUUAGUACGAAAGGAAAGUUUUAAAGAUUUAAAAUCUUAUGAGGUGACUCAAUUUUAGUA